ACGAGUUAGGGUCUUUUAGGCCCGACCUCCCAACCCUAUGUUUAUUGAACCUCUGUUGCUUCGGCGGACCCGUCUCACGGCCGCCGGAGGAUUGCCGCGAGGCGUCCUCUGGCCCGCGUCCGCCGGUGGCCAACCACACAAAACUCUGAAUAAAUCGUGUCAUUAUGUCUAAGUCUAUGAUUAAAUUAAAGCA
RNAcentral lists this unclassified non-coding RNA (193 nucleotides) under uncultured fungus. RNAcentral's name for it is "sequence contains ITS1, 5.8S rRNA gene". The record is from RNAcentral. Lineage: Eukaryota; Fungi.